Molecule: ribosomal RNA, 498 nt
Filed under: uncultured bacterium
Lineage: Bacteria
Description: partial 16S ribosomal RNA
Rfam family: Bacterial small subunit ribosomal RNA
Source: RNAcentral
GACGAACGCUGGCGGCGUGCCUAAUACAUGCAAGUCGAACGAGAGCGACCGGUGCUUGCACUGGUCAAUCUAGUGGCGCACGGGUGAGUAACACGUGGGUACCCUGCCCAUCAGAGGGGGAUAACAUCCGGAAACGGAUGCUAAAACCGCAUAGGUCUUCGAACCGCAUGGCUUGAAGGGGAAAAGAGGCGCAAGCUUCUGCUGCUGGAUGGACCCGCGGUGCAUUAGCUAGUUGGUGAGGUAACGGCUCAACAAGGCCGUGAUGCAUAGCCGACCUGAGAGGGUGAUCGGCCACAUUGGGACUGAGACACGGCCCAAACUCCUACGGGAGGCAGCAGUAGGGAAUCUUCCGCAAUGGACGGAAGUCUGACGGAACAAAGCCGCGUGAGUGAAGAAGGUUUUCGGAGCGGAAAACUCUGUUGUUAGGGAAGAACAAGUGCUAGAGUAACUGUUGGGGCCAUGACGGUAACUAAACAGAAAGCCACGGCUAACUACGUG